Gossypium raimondii (Peruvian cotton) is the source of this 143-nucleotide non-coding RNA. The record is from Rfam. Lineage: Eukaryota; Viridiplantae; Streptophyta; Magnoliopsida; Malvales; Malvaceae.
UUUUAAAAUUUUCAUCUAUUUGUACUGUAAAAAACUAGCUUAGCUGACGGAAUAACUAGACAAUAAAAAGUGAUGUGCCGCGUGUAUCUCAUGUUGUCAUACAAGGACAAGUUUUUAAUGAUAGAUGGACAAAAUUUUUACAG